Molecule: ribosomal RNA, 214 nt
Filed under: uncultured bacterium
Lineage: Bacteria
Description: partial 16S ribosomal RNA
Rfam family: Bacterial small subunit ribosomal RNA
Source: RNAcentral
CAGUUCGGACUGUAGUCUGCAACCCGACUACACGAAGCUGGAAUCGCUAGUAAUCGCGAAUCAGAAUGUCGCGGUGAAUACGUUCCCGGGCCUUGUACACACCGCCCGUCACACCAUGAGAGUUGGCAAUACCCAACGUACGUGAUCUAACCCGCAAGGGAGGAAGCGUCCUAAGGUAGGGUCAGCGAUUGGGGUGAAGUCGUAACAAGGUAUC